RNAcentral lists this unclassified non-coding RNA (529 nucleotides) under Hevea brasiliensis (rubber tree). The record is from RNAcentral. Lineage: Eukaryota; Viridiplantae; Streptophyta; Magnoliopsida; Malpighiales; Euphorbiaceae.
UGAAAAAAAUGCAGAAGAAAAUCUACUGUUGAAAAGGAAUUAGCGUAGAAGGAGCUGCAAUUUUGUUUCGCAGAUGACAUGACGCCAUGGUGAGGGGGAAGUGAUUCUGCUUAGAAAUGGAAUUUAGCAAUUUACCAAAGCAAGCAUCAUUGGUUGGUGGCAACUUUGCUUUGAUGCAGAUAGUGAGACAUGUCAAUUUCAACCCAUUUACUAAUCAUAACAUUUAUCAGAUGUUAACUACUGGAUUAAGCAACUACUAAUACUAGCAACUGGUGAGGAGAGGGUGGAAAUAGUUCACUUACUGCCUUGUCAAAUUCAUAGACCCAAUUGCAUGAUAGUUGCAAAAACCAUCUUCAAGCCUGUGCUUAUUUAUAGCACUUUGGUGAGAUUUAAGUGAUUAAAUUUAAAGCAGAAAGGAGAAUCUUGUAACUGGUAGUUCACAUUAUGAGCAGAAUGGUGUGGUGGUUAAAGUGGGAAGCCAAAUGAUGAAUCUAAGUGGGGAGCAUGAAUAAUGAUUAUUUCUUUCAAA